RNAcentral lists this ribosomal RNA (459 nucleotides) under uncultured bacterium. RNAcentral describes it as "partial 16S ribosomal RNA". It matches the Rfam family "Bacterial small subunit ribosomal RNA", at positions 338 to 795 of the family's 1533-position model. The record is from RNAcentral.
CCUACGGGAGGCAGCAGUGAGGAAUAUUGGUCAAUGGCCGCAGGGCUGAACCAGCCAAGUCGCGUGAGGGAUGACGGUCCUAUGGAUUGUAAACCUCUUUUGUCAGGGAGCAAAGGGCGCCACGUGUGGCGCUUUGCGAGUACCUGAAGAAAAAGCAUCGGCUAACUCCGUGCCAGCAGCCGCGGUAAUACGGAGGAUGCGAGCGUUAUCCGGAUUUAUUGGGUUUAAAGGGUGCGCAGGCGGAAUGUCAAGUCAGCGGUAAAAUUUCGGGGCUCAACCCCGUCGGGCCGUUGAAACUGGCGUUCUUGAGUGAGCGAGAAGUGUGCGGAAUGCGUGGUGUAGCGGUGAAAUGCAUAGAUAUCACGCAGAACUCCGAUUGCGAAGGCAGCAUACCGGCGCUCAACUGACGCUCAUGCACGAAAGCGUGGGUAUCGAACAGGAUUAGAUACCCGGGUAGUC